UGGGGAAUAUUGCACAAUGGAGGGAACUCUGAUGCAGCAACGCCGCGUGCGGGAUGACGGCCUUCGGGUUGUAAACCGCUUUCAGCCAUGACGAAGCUUUUGUGACGGUAGUGGUAGAAGAAGCACCGGCUAACUACGUGCCAGCAGCCGCGGUGAUACGUAGGGUGCGAGCGUUGUCCGGAAUUAUUGGGUUUAAAGGGUGCGUAGGUUGCAAGGGAAGUCAGGGGUGAAAAGCUAUAGCUCAACUAUGGUCUUGCCUUUGAAACUCUCUAGCUAGAGUGUACUGGAGGUACGUGGAACGUGUGGUGUAGCGGUGAAAUGCAUAGAUAUCACACAGAACUCCGAUUGCGCAGGCAGCGUACUACAUUACAACUGACACUGAAGCACGAAAGCGUGGGUAUCAAACAGG
This 409-nucleotide ribosomal RNA is filed under the name Fusobacteriota bacterium. RNAcentral describes it as "Fusobacteria bacterium partial 16S ribosomal RNA". It matches the Rfam family "Bacterial small subunit ribosomal RNA", at positions 355 to 776 of the family's 1533-position model. Lineage: Bacteria; Fusobacteriati; Fusobacteriota. The record is from RNAcentral.